Molecule: non-coding RNA, 276 nt
Organism: Olsenella sp. oral taxon 807
Lineage: Bacteria; Bacillati; Actinomycetota; Coriobacteriia; Coriobacteriales; Atopobiaceae
Source: Rfam
UUUACCCAGGUCUGUGGUUGCGGGAUUCGGCCCCUGCCUUUUCUAGGCGGUCGGUUGAUACCCUAGUCCAUGACAGACGAGGUCAAAGGGAUCCACGUAAGCCGGACGUGAGCGUGCCGGCGAGCAUGGCUCGUCCUAGGAGUAAGUCGCACCGCCCGACGAUAAGCAAGGACGUGGGGUCCUGCGGGCGAGAGAGCCCACGGUGGGGGGCCGUAGCCCCGAAGCCAAAGCCCCGGUGCGCGAGUGUGGGGGAAAAUACCAGGUCAGCUGGGUAAG